RNAcentral lists this ribosomal RNA (617 nucleotides) under uncultured Herbaspirillum sp. Its description in RNAcentral is "bacterial SSU rRNA". It matches the Rfam family "Bacterial small subunit ribosomal RNA", at positions 45 to 655 of the family's 1533-position model. Lineage: Bacteria; Pseudomonadati; Pseudomonadota; Betaproteobacteria; Burkholderiales; Oxalobacteraceae. The record is from RNAcentral.
UGCCUUACACAUGCAAGUCGAACGGCAGCACGGGAGCUUGCUCCUGGUGGCGAGUGGCGAACGGGUGAGUAAUAUAUCGGAACGUGCCCUAGAGUGGGGGAUAACUAGUCGAAAGAUUAGCUAAUACCGCAUACGAUCUAAGGAUGAAAGUGGGGGAUCGCAAGACCUCAUGCUCGUGGAGCGGCCGAUAUCUGAUUAGCUAGUUGGUGAGGUAAAGGCUCACCAAGGCGACGAUCAGUAGCUGGUCUGAGAGGACGACCAGCCACACUGGAACUGAGACACGGUCCAGACUCCUACGGGAGGCAGCAGUGGGGAAUUUUGGACAAUGGGCGCAAGCCUGAUCCAGCAAUGCCGCGUGAGUGAAGAAGGCCUUCGGGUUGUAAAGCUCUUUUGUCAGGGAAGAAACGGUUCUGGUUAAUACCCGGGGCUAAUGACGGUACCUGAAGAAUAAGCACCGGCUAACUACGUGCCAGCAGCCGCGGUAAUACGUAGGGUGCAAGCGUUAAUCGGAAUUACUGGGCGUAAAGCGUGCGCAGGCGGUUGUACAAGACAGAUGUGAAAUCCCCGGGCUUAACCUGGGAAUUGCAUUUGUGACUGUACGGCUAGAGUGUGUCAGA